AGAGCGAACGCUGGCGGCAGGCCUAACACAUGCAAGUCGAGCGCCCCGCAAGGGGAGCGGCAGACGGGAGAGUAACACGUGGGAACGUACCCUUCAGUUCGGAACAACCCAGGGAAACUUGGGCUAAUACCGGAUACGUCCGUAAGGAGAAAGAUUUAUCGCUGAAGGAUCGGCCCGCGUCUGAUUAGCUAGUUGGUGAGGUAACGGCUCACCAAGGCGACGAUCAGUAGCUGGUCUGAGAGGAUGAUCAGCCUCACUGGGACUGAGACACGGCCCAGACUCCUACGGGAGGCAGCAGUGGGGAAUAUUGGACAAUGGGCGCAAGCCUGAUCCAGCCAUGCCGCGUGGAUGAUGAAGGCCUUAGGGUUGUAAAGUCCUUUCGGCGGGGAAGAUAAUGACGGUACCCGCAGAAGAAGCCCCGGCUAACUUCGUGCCAGCAGCCGC
Molecule: ribosomal RNA, 444 nt
Filed under: uncultured bacterium
Lineage: Bacteria
Description: SSU rRNA
Rfam family: Bacterial small subunit ribosomal RNA
Source: RNAcentral